This 3363-nucleotide ribosomal RNA is filed under the name Triticum aestivum (bread wheat). RNAcentral's name for it is "partial small subunit ribosomal RNA". The record is from RNAcentral. Lineage: Eukaryota; Viridiplantae; Streptophyta; Magnoliopsida; Poales; Poaceae.
CUUUUCUGUGAUUUUACUGUGCGCUUUUACUAUGCAAGGAAAGAGGGAAAAUAAAUCGCCUCGCAGGCACGCUCCCGUCUCUCUCGAGCGCGCUCUCUCUCUCUCGAUCCUCUCUCGGCCGCCGGCCGAUUCCGGUCGUUGCCGGUGGUCUCCGGCCCCGCCCAGCACUCCCUCGUGUUCUUCUCGAUCCGGCCUAUCUUCCCCACCAACUCGAUUCGACGCUCGCCUCCUCCUUGUGCGCCCGUGGUUAACCCUAGCCGCCACUGUGGCAAGCGCACGGCGCCGUCAUGGACGCCGGCGCGGCUCCGGCGCCCCUGGUGCUCAUCCUUGACACCUCCUGCCCGCUCUCGCGCGUCACCGAGGUCGUCGGCCUGGAGUCAUGCCCCGACGCACGUGGCUGCCCGCAGCAGGCCAUCCGGGCCGCCUACGCCAUUGAGUCCGCCAAGCCGUCCCAGUCCGUCCUCGUCUCUGUCUCUGGUCGGUGACAGCAUGUAGUUGGAGUGGAGGAUCUUGGAUUUGAGUACGUGAGGGAGGAGGAGCAAGACAAAAUUGAUAAGGCAAGAAUUGUUUUCCUCUCAAUUCAGGUUUCUGUUGCACCUCCAAAAUUCUAACUCAGAUAUAAGAGUGUUUAGAUCACAUUUAAGGGUGUUUGUUUAACCUGAACUUGGUGUUGGGCAUUGGUUCCUCAUGAAUUUUACCUACCUCAUCAGUAUCAUGUGAUCUAUUUAUCCAAAUCUAUGCCGUGGUCUCCUAUUUCUCUUCUGCGUAUUGGAAGAACCAAAUUUUGCUCCUGAAAAUGCAAUAUUGGUUUUAAGAAUUGAGAAAUUGAAAGAUUUGUGUGCUAUCAAAGUACCUUGUUAAGUGAUUUGCUUAAAAUGUGUAAGUUGGCAGCUCUUCAUUCUUUAACUGUCAUAUUUCACUCUUGUUUAAAAGUUGUUAACUGAUAGCAGUGCCUUCUCUAUUGUUGUUUUCCGAGACGCAAGACUCUUAUGCUCACGAAGAAGAAGCUUGUUCCAUCACAAUCUUGGAAGAUGGGAAGUCUAGAGUAGACAGAGAGGAGCCUUGUCUUCUUAUGAACAUGGAUAGGUUGUCGUAUAACAGAGGGUGAGAGCUAAGCUACUUCCAAUGGUAUGAACUAGUGAUAUAGAAGAGAACUAAUGCCUCCUAUGAGCGGUGAAUUCCACUAUUGAUGCAUCUUCGUUCUAUUUUACUUCAGAGUUGAGAGAAGAUGCAGAAAUGUCAUAUUCGUGUUCGUUCAUAAAACUUGAGGAGUUUGCUGAUACUUCAUCUGGGAGUGGUGUCCCUUCGUCAGUAGCAGCAGCAACAAUCCCAGAAUUGCCACGGCAGCAUGCUGAAGUCUGCAAUUUGAUGUUCUUCUGUUGACGUGGGCUUUUAGUCAGAUUGUUGUGCAGCAGGGUUGACUUUUUGUGAGUGAAGAAACUUGAUAUUGGAGUAACGAGUCACCUUCAUACGACAUGAGUCAAGUCCGGGAUAUGAGGGGCAGUACGAUGCAUACAUAGUGGCUAAGAAUGCCAAGUGACCAGUGGGAUGCCCUUCAAGAAAAUUCAUCUCCAUUAAGGACCUACAAGAGAUCAAACUUUUUGAUUCCAGGGAAAGAACUUCUACUUUUAUUGUACUCUCUGGUUGUUGUGCAAAUACGUGAACAAUUUUGUCACCUUGUAGAUUUCAAAUUAGUGAUUGCAAAGCCUUAUUGAAUUGCCGCUUUUGAAUGGCAGGGACUGGUGAAGCACAAAGAGUGACACAUGGAAAUGGCGUGCAACCUACUUACACAUAGAAUAUUUCAAGAGAUUGUUCCUUCAAAUGCUGGAAAUGUUCUUGGUACCGAAGAUAACGUUCUGACAAAGAAGCGGGUAUCACUUAUUGAUCACCAGGUGAUGAAUAUAUUGGUGGGGAUGCAAGAAAUGUACCAUAUUUUUCACCAUUCCCAUAUGGCUAUCGUACUUCAACACCUAUGGAAGAAGAUGAUGAGCAGCCAAAUACUUCUAGUUCCUAUUGUAAAUAAAGCAAAAGAAGUUUUGUGGCAAAGAUGCAGACCGCAAGACCAAACUAAGCCUUCCAUGAGUCUCUCAUUUUUUGAAGCUCUCACAGAUAAGUUAAGGCUUUCGUAGCAUGUUAUGUAGGAAAGUUAUAAUCAUUGAUUAGAAAAGCCUCAAAUGCUCCUCUCACCCUGGUGAAAAGUUGUGAAUGAUGUUCUAUAGAGAUUUUUAAUUUAAGUGCAUGGUUGUCAAUGAGCUUAAUCCUUUGUAAAUCCAACAAGAUUCUAUUGAUGCAGUUCUAUUGAGUAUAUUCUUUCUUUUUUGACAUCUGGCGCUCAUCUGGGUUGCAUAUUAACGUUCAAAACUCUAACGGCAGGAUUUGUGCGCGCACAGGUUUGCUCAGGAGGCGCGCUAAGGGCGCGCCCCAGCCUCUAGUAUGGCAUUCAUCGUCGAGCCUGAAUCCAUAGCUCAGGUUCAAAAGGACCUAGACGCCGCGAAAGAAACUCAACGGUAUGCGGAAUCGCAACAUCAGGCCGGUCUUCGGGUUCUAAAACGAAGCCAGGAGGAGACCAACAAACUGAAGGCGGUGAACCAGCAGCAGGCCGAAAAACUAGAGGGUAUAAAAACUCAACUGGCGCAGGUUCGCGGAGAAAACCAAAGUUUGAGAAGCGGCAUUCAGUCUCCUGACUGGCCGGCCCGGAGAGGAGGUCCAAUCCUUUGGUGGGAACGUGUUGAAGGAACUGUCCGUGGUUCAUGAGAAAGCUCGAAAGGCUAUGAAGAACAUGGUGAAGGCAUUAUGGCCAACCGACGUGGCGCCGGGCAAUAUGGCCGAACUGGCGAAUCGUUAUAAGGGAGCUCGGCGGCGCUUCGAAUUAUGGAAAAUAUCAUCCUGUUCGGAGGGGGCGCGAGAAGCAUGGGCUAUGGUGAAAACCUGGUUCGGGAAACUCGAGCCAGAGCAUAUGGCUCGAGUCGGGCCAGUAGGGCUGGAUGGGCAAGAAAUACCCCUUCAUUUGGUGUAUGACCAAGUGGUGCCCGCAGCUCGAUUGUCCCAGCAGGAUUGUGCAUUAGAUAGCAUAAUAGACAAUGUAGACAAAGAAUUAUGCGUUUGAUUCUAUGUAUCUAUGUACUUUACAUAAAACGGCCUCGAUCCAAACUGUAAAACGUUGUCUUAACCGGCCAUCGGCUUCUGCCUCCCCGACCGAUGAUCGGGGAGUGUUUUGUACUAUGUGACCCAAGGUAAACAGGAAAUCACUUUCGGUAACCAGGCAGUCCGGCCUUAAGGUGCGAAUAGACAAAAAUGUGUGCGGAGAGUUACGUUAUAUUACUGUUUAACGUAAGAAACAUCUUCUGAAGUAAAUAGUUCCUC